CGCGGGGUGGAGCAGUCUGGUAGCUCGUCGGGCUCAUAACCCGAAGGUCGUAGGUUAAAAUCCUGCCCCCGCAA
This 74-nucleotide transfer RNA is filed under the name Listeria monocytogenes. RNAcentral describes it as "tRNA-Met". It matches the Rfam family "tRNA". From Rfam's summary of the family: Transfer RNA (tRNA) molecules are approximately 80 nucleotides in length. Their secondary structure includes four short double-helical elements and three loops (D, anti-codon, and T loops). The record is from RNAcentral. Lineage: Bacteria; Bacillati; Bacillota; Bacilli; Caryophanales; Listeriaceae. RNAcentral also lists the same sequence under 1 other name.